Non-coding RNA from Acanthosepion pharaonis, 108 nucleotides. NCBI's taxonomy places the organism in Eukaryota, Metazoa, Mollusca, Cephalopoda, Sepiida, Sepiidae. The record is from the annotation of a GenBank genome assembly.
UACGGUCAUAUCACGUUGAAACACCGGUUCCCUUACGAUCACCGAAGUUAAGCAACGUUGAGUCUAGUCACUGCCAAGAUGGGUGACCGCAUUGGAAUACUAGGUGCU